Molecule: long non-coding RNA, 1211 nt
Filed under: Heterocephalus glaber (naked mole-rat)
Lineage: Eukaryota; Metazoa; Chordata; Mammalia; Rodentia; Bathyergidae
Description: lncRNA (ENSHGLG00000049698.1)
Source: RNAcentral
CUGGUGGGGCCCUGGAACACCAUGGAUGUCAUCAAUAGGUCGUAGAACCCUGCUGAGGCCUUAGUGAUAACUGGUAUCAUACCAACCAGGGUAUCAUACUGAGUGUUACGAAGGACAGUGAUCUGGUGAACAGAUAGUGUCUUAUUUGCUUUUUUGGGGGGUGUAUACAUUUAAUUUCUUACCUUUACUAAUAAUUCUCUGAUAACAGUCUCAGACUCUUACUUGCUAUCAGCAAUUCUGCAAAGAGUUGAACCAUGAAACAUAAAGAGAAGAAAAAACACCAGAAGAAGAAACCCUUAAAAUGACCUGUGAAAAAGUCAAGGGGUACAAGAGGAAAGUUGGAUUUACAAGAUGUUCUGCAGGGUAGAGCCAAGGUACUGGCCCAUACUCAAGGCCAUGAAGUGGCAGAUAGUUCUUCCUCAACCUCAGGGGACUUCUCCUAUGAAGACAAAUUCUUGGAUGCAGAACUGCACAACUCUCCAGAGGAUACCGCUGAGACACAUGAGAUGGUCCCAAGUUCAAAUCUGGAUGCAGGAGAGAAUUUCUCAGUCUCAGAACAUUUGGCGUGCAUCUCUUCUUCAAGCAAGUGCAUUCCUAUGGAUGAGGAUGGUCCUGGAUUGUCCAAGAGGCUUUUAAAUCAUGAUUUGAUGGAGAAGGAGAAUUUCUCCUUCAUGGCACAUUCUCAUUUACCUUCCUUCUUGGCCAAUAACCCCUUACAGUCUGCAACAUCUACUGAAAAGAAAAAAGUCCUGAAUGUUUACUAUAAGCCUGUCCCAAUGAAAAGGGGUAUGGCUUCCUUGGGGGAUACAGAAGAUGAUUUGGAGCCCCCCCGCAAAGAUGACAAGAAUAGCAAAAAUUACCUUUCCUGAGAAGAUCCCUUCAAAAGCCAGCCUCUCUUCUGUGUGCCUAAGAGAUGUCCUAACUGACAGUGAAAAUGGCUUGCACAGGGAAGGCCAAGAGGAAAGGGAAGAGGCCGAGAAUCUGGCCCAGUAUUCAGUGCUGGAGGACCUGUAGAGUGGCUUUAGGUGCAUGGGCUGCUACCAGGUCUUCCCCAAAAUGCGGAUGCUUAAGAAACACCUGGAGGAUGGGGUUGAGGGUGGUGCUUCAUGCCUUAGUCUUGCAUUUGCCAAACUAAGGAACAAAACGAAGCAAAGCAAGAGAAUCACAGGGGGGAGAAUGGGAAUAUGACAACAUCUGGAGGUGAUAUGGAG